CGCGCCGUCUGUAUAAAAGGCGAGCAGCGGCUAAGCCGGGGCGUGGCUCCGGCGGCUCCUCCAUUGCGCCUUGUUGCUGCUCCUGUCUGCACGUGAUCCUCCAGAACAAGACUAGAGGAAAUCCAGGGCAAACUGCUGGGAUACCUUCCAUCCUCUCCCAAUGUACCAGAAACGGGAUCGUCUGACAGUGCCCAAUGGGCUGGAGGCUGUGAGCAUCGAGAGCAGGGGCUGCCUGUCCACGCUGACCUUCUGCAGCAUCUCAAAGGACUAUGGCAACUCCAUGCGUAUGGCCAGGAGCAAGCUGGGCAUCACCAGUGCCAGCAGCAUCCUGUAGGGCAGGCACCCUGCUCCUUUUACAGCAAGGUGCAGCGAGGAGGAAGAGGAAGAAGGAGAGGAUGAAGAGGAGGUGAAUGGCCGGCCAGCAAUAGAAGGGAGUGGGUUUUCUUUAGCAAUGCCAGCCCAUGGAGGUGCAGAACGGCCGAGCUCUGAGCGCCGAGGAUGCAUCAGAGGAUGCUGAGGAGCUGUGCAUGGGCCCAUGCAGGAGGGCCCUGCUUGGUGGUGGUCAUGGUGCGUGUUUAGGGAUGAGCAGCGGACGGUGAAGAGACAGAUGGGACAUCGUUGGAACGCAGGCCCAAGGAGAGGCCCCGUGCAGGGACAGGUCGAGCACCCCGGGAUGGUCCCUGAAGAGAGCUGCGAUUCCAGAAGGGAUACGACGUUUGGGAUGGACUCUGGACAGGUAUAAGAACCCCCUCCCUCCCCCUAGCCCCUCCCCUCCAGAGCAGAGGGAAGGGGUUGGGGGGACGGAAGGGGUUAGGGGAG
This is a long non-coding RNA of Melopsittacus undulatus (budgerigar), 819 nucleotides long. RefSeq lists it as uncharacterized. Lineage: Eukaryota; Metazoa; Chordata; Aves; Psittaciformes; Psittaculidae. The transcript is spliced from 4 exons. The record is from RefSeq and is a predicted model, not a curated record.